This 72-nucleotide transfer RNA is filed under the name Salmo salar (Atlantic salmon). It matches the Rfam family "tRNA". From Rfam's summary of the family: Transfer RNA (tRNA) molecules are approximately 80 nucleotides in length. Their secondary structure includes four short double-helical elements and three loops (D, anti-codon, and T loops). Lineage: Eukaryota; Metazoa; Chordata; Actinopteri; Salmoniformes; Salmonidae. The record is from Rfam by way of RNAcentral.
CUCCCUGUAGCUCAGUUGGUAGAGCAUGGUGUUUGCAACGCCAGGGUUGUGGAUUCGAUUUCCACGGGGGGC